UUGGUCAAUGGACGCAAGUCUGAACCAGCCAUGCCGCGUGAAGGAUGACGGUCCUCUGGAUUGUAAACUUCUUUUAUCUGGGACGAAAACGGGAUUUUUAUCUCAAUUGACGGUACCAGAGGAAUAAGCACCGGCUAACUCCGUGCCAGCAGCCGCGGUAAUACGGAGUGUGCGAGCGUUAUCCGGAUUUACCGGGUUUAAAGGGUGCGUAGGUGGGCUUAUAAGUCAGUGGUGAAAUCUCCGAGCUUAACUUGGAAACUGUCGUUGAUACGAUAAGUCAUGAAGUAUCUGGAGGUAAGCGGAAUAUGUCAUGUAGCGGUGAAAGGCUUAAAUAUGACAUAGAACACCAAUUGCGAAGGCAGCUUACUACAUAUAAAUUGACGCUGUGGCACGAAAGCUUGGGGAUCAAACA
This 412-nucleotide ribosomal RNA is filed under the name uncultured bacterium. Its description in RNAcentral is "bacterial SSU rRNA". It matches the Rfam family "Bacterial small subunit ribosomal RNA", at positions 364 to 774 of the family's 1533-position model. The record is from RNAcentral.